Molecule: ribosomal RNA, 615 nt
Filed under: Anabaena sp. 238
Lineage: Bacteria; Bacillati; Cyanobacteriota; Cyanophyceae; Nostocales; Nostocaceae
Description: bacterial SSU rRNA
Rfam family: Bacterial small subunit ribosomal RNA
Source: RNAcentral
CUUUCCGGGGCUUACACAUGCAGUCGAACGGAAUCUUCGGAUUUAGUCGGCGGACGGGUGAGUAACGCGUGAGAAUCUAGCUCUAGGUCGGGGACAACCACUGGAAACGGUGGCUAAUACCGGAUGUGCCGAAAGGUGAAAGAUUUAUUGCCUAGAGAUGAGCUCGCGUCUGAUUAGCUAGUUGGUGUGGUAAGAGCGCACCAAGGCGACGAUCAGUAGCUGGUCUGAGAGGAUGAUCAGCCACACUGGGACUGAGACACGGCCCAGACUCCUACGGGAGGCAGCAGUGGGGAAUUUUCCGCAAUGGGCGAAAGCCUGACGGAGCAAUACCGCGUGAGGGAGGAAGGCUCUUGGGUUGUAAACCUCUUUUCUCAGGGAAUAAGAAAGUGAAGGUACCUGAGGAAUAAGCAUCGGCUAACUCCGUGCCAGCAGCCGCGGUAAUACGGAGGAUGCAAGCGUUAUCCGGAAUGAUUGGGCGUAAAGCGUCCGCAGGUGGCACUGUAAGUCUGCUGUUAAAGAGCAAGGCUCAACCUUGUAAAGGCAGUGGAAACUACAGAGCUAGAGUACGUUCGGGGCAGAGGGAAUUCCUGGUGUAGCGGUGAAAUGCGUAGAAAC